AUUGAACGCUGGCGGCAUGCCUUACACAUGCAAGUCGAACGGCAGCACGGGGCAACCUGGCGGCGAGUGGCGAACGGGUGAGUAAUGCAUCGGAACGUACCUUUCAGUGGGGGAUAACGUAGCGAAAGUUACGCUAAUACCGCAUAUUCUGUGAGCAGGAAAGCAGGGGAUCGCAAGACCUUGCGCUGAUUGAGCGGCCGAUGUCAGAUUAGCUAGUUGGUGAGGUAAAGGCUCACCAAGGCGACGAUCUGUAGCGGGUCUGAGAGGAUGAUCCGCCACACUGGAACUGAGACACGGUCCAGACUCCUACGGGAGGCAGCAGUGGGGAAUUUUGGACAAUGGGGGCAACCCUGAUCCAGCCAUGCCGCGUGAGUGAAGAAGGCCUUCGGGUUGUAAAGCUCUUUCGGCCGGGAAGAAAUCGUAUGGGUUAAUACCCUGUGCGGAUGACGGUACCGGCAUAAGAAGCACCGGCUAACUACGUGCCAGCCGCCGCAGUAA
This 498-nucleotide ribosomal RNA is filed under the name uncultured bacterium. RNAcentral describes it as "partial 16S ribosomal RNA". It matches the Rfam family "Bacterial small subunit ribosomal RNA", at positions 30 to 523 of the family's 1533-position model. The record is from RNAcentral.